Molecule: small nuclear RNA, 130 nt
Organism: Bombus pascuorum
Lineage: Eukaryota; Metazoa; Arthropoda; Insecta; Hymenoptera; Apidae
Product: U4 spliceosomal RNA
Exons: 1
Source: RefSeq, a predicted model, not a curated record
AGCUCUGCACAGUGGCGAUAUCGUAACCAACGAGGUUCUACCAAGUUGCGAUUAUUGCUAAUUAAAAAGAAAAACAUUGUGCUUCUAUUACUUCCUUAUAAAACGAAGGAAACUUUUCAAACAACCAAAU